RNAcentral lists this ribosomal RNA (487 nucleotides) under archaeon enrichment culture clone DGGE-1A. Its description in RNAcentral is "bacterial SSU rRNA". It matches the Rfam family "Archaeal small subunit ribosomal RNA", at positions 336 to 827 of the family's 1478-position model. The record is from RNAcentral.
CAGGCGCGAAAACUUUACAAUGCAGGCAACUGUGAUAAGGGAACCCCGAGUGCCCGUAUACGCGGGCUGUUCGGAUGUCCAAAAAGCAUCCGGAGAAAGGGCCGGGCAAGACCGGUGCCAGCCGCCGCGGUAAUACCGGCGGCUCGAGUGGUGGCCGCUUUUAUUGGGCUUAAAGCGUCCGUAGCUGGAUUGUUAAGUCCCUUGGGAAAUCCGCCGGCUCAACCGGCGGGCGUCUAAGAGAUACUGGCAAUCUAGGGACCGGAAGAGGUGAGAGGUACUCCAGGGGUAGGAGUGAAAUCCUGUAAUCCCUGGGGGACCACCUGUGGCGAAGGCGUCUCACCAGGACGGCUCCGACAGUGAGGGACGAAAGCUGGGGGAGCAAACCGGAUUAGAUACCCGGGUAGUCCCAGCCGUAAACGAUGCGCGUUAGGUGUAUCGGUGACCACGAGUCACCGAGGUGCCGAAGGGAAACCGUGAAACGUGCCGC